Sapajus apella (tufted capuchin) is the source of this 130-nucleotide long non-coding RNA. RefSeq lists it as uncharacterized. The record is from RefSeq and is a predicted model, not a curated record. NCBI's taxonomy places the organism in Eukaryota, Metazoa, Chordata, Mammalia, Primates, Cebidae. The transcript is spliced from 3 exons.
GACCCAGCUACUUGGGAGGCUGAGGCAGGAGAAUUGCUUGAACCCAGGAGGUGGAGGUUGCAGUGAACUGAGACCACAUCAUUGUACUCCAUCUUGGGGACAGAAAGAGAAACAGGCUGUCUCAAGUAAA